UGCCAAGCAAUACUACUGACGAGAAGGAGCCCAGGUUUUCUGCUACUUCUUUCUUCAUUGUAGCGCGGAACUGAGUUCAAAACUCACUUCUUCUAGCAUGAUGUUUUCAAAAGAGUUGGGAAUCAAGCGGGGAGCGAUUCUAUCUUCCGUCAAGGUUUGUCGAGUGAAGGAUGGGUGGGCUUCUACUCUACUGCAAACGCAGUCGUCAGUCUGUCAAGGUUCAAGGCGGUCGGCAGGAAGCGCUAGCUCCGACGUUUGAAGAAGACAUUUUCUGAACUGGAAAUUGUUACCGGUAUUUCAAAUACUGGUACCUGCUUCCGAAGGACAUGUCGUGCUACUUGAAGACAAUUUCUCCACGGUUUGGAGUCGUCAGACGUCACUCACUCCCGGAGCGGGUUUUCAGGUUCUGCUGAAUUCGAGGCGUGGUGAAGCGGAAGCACGGGAACCAGGGGACGCGCACCUCGCCUGUGUGCGAGGAAGGAAGCAUGGGUCUGGAGUCCGGAUGCUGGAAGCGUUGAGCUGACAUGAGCAAUUUUCAGUGGUAUUUGAUAUCCUAGCUGCCAAUGAUAAUUGUUAUUCCUGGCGGCUCUACAAAUUCUGCAUGCCGGUUGAAUUCCACGGUGUCCCCUUCCAUGCACUCGGCUAUCAUGUCCUGGAGUGUCCGUUCGGAAAGGAAGGACGUCGUGCAGCAUCUAAACGGGUUCAAGAAAGGAGGGAUGCAUAGUGACGGUGACUACUCAGUCCCUGGAGAAACGGUCUCUCACAUCACCAAUCCAGCACAGUGGACCGUAGCUAUGCACAUAUCAGCCCAUGAAGCAUGCUGAGAAGAACCUGGUCUAGACGGCCAUGGCGUCGGCAGGGAAGCGGGACGACAUGAGUAUGCACUUUCCGCCAGUUUCCAAGGCAACAGUAUGGCAGUACAAAGCCGGUAAAGUUGAGUUCUGCUCUGUUUUACUUUCUCUUUUCGUUCGUCCCUCUUGAUAUUUGUACUUCGUACUGUUGAGGCAACGAACUGAACUAAUAAAAACCAAACCAAACCAUGUACUGUGUGCGUGGCCUGCACUAAGGCGUCGGUUUUAGCUACUUGUUGUCCAUAACAUCAGCAUUGUAAGACAUGCUACUGAUACUUCUUGAAGCUGCCAGUGCAGUGAAGUUUCCUGUCAUUUGUUUUGAAUUUGAAUUUUUUGAUUUGGGCUUCGUUUGGAUUUGAACUCGCCUUAGGGUUAUGCGCGUGGUAGUCCUCACACCUUGUGUCGCCGUUUAAGCAUGGGAUUACGACAUGUCUACAUGUUUUGAGCAAUGUAUCCUUACUCCAGUA
Sycon ciliatum is the source of this 1318-nucleotide long non-coding RNA. RefSeq lists it as uncharacterized. NCBI's taxonomy places the organism in Eukaryota, Metazoa, Porifera, Calcarea, Leucosolenida, Sycettidae. The record is from RefSeq and is a predicted model, not a curated record. The transcript has 3 exons.